CCUAACUACUCCCUCGCAGAUUCUCCACCUCUCCCGAUUGUGUAGUCCAUACCCCCCAUCUCUCCUAAGCCGGCGCCUGCACGUUUUCCUCUCCCAUCCGUCCCUCUCUCACCUCCCCUGCCUCUCUCCAACGAUCUCUCGACUGUCGCCGCAGCGCCGGCGCGCGCCUACCAUAGAUCCGGUGGCCUUGAGCAGUUGAGCUCCACCAUCACCAACAGGGGCGGCAAUGACGGAGGGCUGACGGGAUCUGGUGGCCUGAGCAUAAUGGUAUCCAUCAGUAGAGCUCGGCCACCAGAUCCGGUGUAGGCUCAUCUCAGGCCGACAGCCACGCAGAUUCGGUUGUACGAACUGCUCGCAGCUCACACGGUAGCUGACCUCGAGCUUGACUAGUGAGCGGAGUUGGACUGCGCGCAGAGUCGGCACCCCUGCAUCGACGACUUGGACGACCAUCGUUGUUGAGCUCCUGCAGACUCCAUCUUCCUCUGUGUUGAGCUAGACAAUGUCGACUGCACGCCUGCCAACAGUGGCCUCAUCGACGGCGCCAUCAUGGUAACUGAUCACAAAGUAUGGUGAAAUUCUAGGAAGUUGAUGUCUUUUGAAGAAGCGUAUUUCGGAAGCUUAGUCUGAAGACUUCACAAUCUUAUUUUGUUUCUCCAGAUAAUAUAUACUAUGUAACUAGAAACUAGCUAUAUCCUCAUUUACUUGUUCCAUUGUCGCAGAAUUUCAAUGUAUUAAUGCAUUUUUCCAAUUUCUUUGUGUUAUCUGUUGAAUUUUAAAUAAUUAUCUCAAUUCUAUAGGAUCUUGAAACAAGUCUUGGAGGAGUGUGAACUAAAAAAGUGAUAUCACAGAAAUUAGCAUUAGGU
Triticum urartu is the source of this 863-nucleotide long non-coding RNA. RefSeq lists it as uncharacterized. Lineage: Eukaryota; Viridiplantae; Streptophyta; Magnoliopsida; Poales; Poaceae. The record is from RefSeq and is a predicted model, not a curated record.